RNAcentral lists this long non-coding RNA (3120 nucleotides) under Durio zibethinus. RNAcentral describes it as "long non-coding RNA (DZIB_LNC000489)". The record is from RNAcentral. Lineage: Eukaryota; Viridiplantae; Streptophyta; Magnoliopsida; Malvales; Malvaceae.
AUUAUUUUAUUAUUUUAUCAUUUUCUUAAAAUGUCAUCCUUUACGAUCAUUGAAUCUAAUCAUGAUUUUUUUAAAGUGGAUGGUGGGGACAAAAUAAGUGGAUGAAACUUGUAAGAGUGGAUAAUAUUAGAUUAUUGAGGUUAUUUUAUAAUCAAUCAUCAAUAAUUGCUAUACGCUAAUCCACCAAAUCUACCACCCUGUACCCUGUAGGUAAAAAGGAGGAAUUCAGUCAAGAAAAUCAUUUUAUUCAGAAAGAGAAAUCAACCAAAGAAAACCAAAAACAAAAAGAGCAUGCUUUCAAAACCAUUUGUCAGAGAGAUAAUAGUGAUUUUUACUCUUUAUUAUAGUGAUUUUGAGAUGGUAACAAAUAAAAGGAUCAUCAAAACUCUUAGGCCUAACUUGACUCAUAACUAGUAUGUAAAGAAAUUGAGAAACUACAUCCAAUAGGAAAAAAAAAACUACAGGAAAGAUCAUUCUGAUUACAAAGUCGACUUACAUAUCAAACAGCAAAGCCUGUCACUGAUACAAAGUAGAAACAUAAAAUAUAAGUGAAAGAGGGGUUAAUUUUAAGGGACUGCAGAAUAUUUUAUCUAAUUUUGCAUCUGCUAUCUGCAAACUUUCUAUUUAUACACAUGUAAUAGUACAUCUGAUCAUUUUAAACAUGACAUGAUGAUACAAUAUAAAAUAAGAUAUAUAAUGAUACGAUUUAAAAUUUUAAUAAAAUUCAUAUAUAAGAUUGACAAAAAGAAUAAAAUGUUGACAUAAAUUGUGAUAAUUUUUUUUUUUUUUUGUAUUUUAGAGGUAUUUGACACAAAUAAAUAAAUAUAUAUACAAAAAUUGCCAAGAUUACAAUAAAGGAAGAAAAAAAAAAAAAAACUCAGUAUUAUCACAUGUCCAAAAUUGACAUUAUGGAGCACCUACCUCAGUUUACCUCUCAUUUCCAAAUAUCAUUCCUUUGUUUCCUCAGAUUCAUUGGUUGUUGCUACGGAUGUCAUGCAUGCUUGAAUAAUUUCAUGCUAAGCCAAUGGAAACAUACCGCAACCACAAGUACAGGAAGUGUUAACGGCACCAAGCAGCCGUAAUACCUGUUAAAGAAAGGGAAGCGAGAAUCAAGGAAAAAACAUAUUGGGACUUCAAUAUUUUGAAGUCAUGAAUAAUAAAAAGAAAUACCUGUAAAGCUUGAACAUAUAGUGUAAAAAAGAAAAAGAAAAUAUUUUAUAACACGUUUCAAUUUGAUAUGAUAAAUUUAAACACGGUAUGAUAACAUAAUAUAAAAAAUGAAAGCUACAUAAUUUAAAAUAUUAAUAAAAAUUUUAUACGGAUUUGACAAAAACAAAAAAAUGUGUUGUGUUUGACGUGUCCAUUCGUAUUUUUACACGUUUGACAGGAAUGUAUAAUUGGUCAAAUCUAAUUUUAAUAUGCAGCCAAGCACAAGGCUAAUUGAUUUUGCCUUGGUAGGCAAGUAACAGAACUACAUCACAUCUGCAACACUUGCAACCAUCGUAAAAGCAAACUAGCCUAAAUAAUCUUGAUGGUUUUUUUUGCCUGUCCACUUUAACAAAAACUAAUUUGAUCAAUCAUCAACAAGUUGGAAAGAUAACUGUCAAUUUGAAAAUGAAUCCACCAUGCUCAUUCGUACAAGCCACAAAAAAUCAUAUAAAGCAGAAGUUCAACUUGAGGGAACUCUAAUCACAAAGUGUUUCCCUUAUGAGUCGUUUUCCUUUGCACCACAUCCCCACUUUGGCCUUUCACCUUUCUCUUGCUACCUUUAUUCCUUCUGUUUGGAUAGAUAGGCAUAUACAGGUAGCCGGAAUAUCAACACACAUAUCUGUUUUGCCAUAUUUUUAUGCCUAGUAGGCUGUAGCACUAGCAACAAGAACAUCCAACUGCAUAUUUACCAAAAUUACCUAGACCGACAAAAGAUAACAAUGCAAAAACAUUAAGCAUUGCUAGCUUAGCCCAGACCAGAGGCGUAUCCACAUAUAUAGGUAAGAUGUCAUGGAUAACCCCAAAGAUUGGAAAAUAAGAAAAUUUGAAGGAAAAUUUUCCUUUGAACACCCCAAAAAUUUUCUCUUGGACACUCUUGUCGUCGAUAAAAUUGGUAAAUACAUCAGCAGUUAUAUAUAUAUAUAUAUAUAUUAUACUUGGAUACCCAAAAAAAUCUUGGAUAUGGGAAAAGAAAGUUAAAAGAAGGGAAAAAGAGAAAACUAUGCUAUUCUUUGCCAUCACUGACAAAGAUUAGCAGCCCAGGCAACAGCCAAAAAUCAGCUAAAUCAGCAAUUGCAAACAGACAUGCAACCAAAGUGUAUCAAGUAUUUAAAAAAAAAAAAAAGCAACCAAAGUGUAUGUAUUAGAUACGGAUAACAGCAUGCCAAAAUAGCCGAAGGCUAAUAGAGAGAUUAAACAUAAACAAUGCUACCAUCCUUGCACAUAUAAGCUGGCGAAAAAAGAACUGAGAUAAUUAAUCUGCUUCUCUGUUCAAACAUUUUUGAGAUUAUACUUCUAUCAAAUUAAAAAAAAUAUAUACAAAAAAUAAGUAAAGCUUCGAUUUAAUCUGUUACUUUUAUUUGUGUUUACUCCUUCUCAUUUACCUUCUAUUUACUUUAAAAUUUGCCUUAGUUGAUUAAAAUGUACUACUACUGUCAUAUAUUCAAUCGUGUUGUGUUUAUAUUGGGUAAAACAUGAAAAUUAUCGCAAGACGUCAAAUACGAAACAUAUUUUUUAGUUUUGUCUAAUCCGUAAUAGUUUUUAUCAAAAUUUUUAACUGAAUUACUUUCAUGUCUUAUUUUUUUUUGUAUAUUUUUGUGUUGUGUCUAAAAUUUUAAGAUCUAUAUUCAGAUAUAAUUGUUCUAUGUAAAGGUAAAAUCCCUUUUAAAAAUGAAAUCGAAGGAAAAUUGAAGAACAUAAAAACGACAAACUGAUAUUACCUGUCGUUUUGGAUGGCUGCAAUCAGAGGAUACUUCGACAGAAGAAGCUUCGAGGUAUAAGUGGUGAAGCGAAAUCCAGGCAAGACAAGAGAUCCGAUUCCCACCAUUAACCAUCCCCCACAAACCACCAUGGAUGACUCGGUUAACGGAUUUCCGGACCCAAGAAAAAAGAACACAAAUAAAACCAUAAAAG